Molecule: long non-coding RNA, 1119 nt
Organism: Patiria miniata (bat star)
Lineage: Eukaryota; Metazoa; Echinodermata; Asteroidea; Valvatida; Asterinidae
Exons: 5
Source: RefSeq, a predicted model, not a curated record
UGCCGUUGUGGCGCUUUUGUUUAGUACACAUCCAGUUGAAUGCAACAAGUGCAUUUUCGCCUCCUGAUUUUUGGUUUUUAAGUCCGUUUUAAGCUCAAAUAUUAACCAGAAUGAAGGUUUACAUGUGCCUGGUUUUCCUGAUGUUCGUUGGAUAUACCUGGAGUUUAAGUCACACUGAAUCUUGCGGCGGCUUGAAUUCGUGCGGAAAAUACAAGGAUUGUGUGGGUGGUUUAUGCAGAGCUACUGCUGGAUCAGGACAAGAUGAAGGUUUAUGCUUUUCUGACGAUGAUUGUGGGAAACACGAGCUAUGUAACUCUGGCGAGUGCAGACCCAAGCUACACUGAUGACCAACGUGAAUGGAUUGAACCAUGAUCGACCGUGGUUAACCGAGAGCAAGGCUUUAGAUUUGCCGUUUGGUUCAGUAUUCUUCAUCUCUAUCAUUAAGAGUUGCUCUUUUAUUAUUAGUAUUAUUAUUUUUAUUAUUCUUAUUUUUUUAUAUUUAUGUCCCCGUUCAGAAAGCUGGGAUAGACAGCAUUCUGAGGGCGAUCAUUACAUUUGCAUUCAAGAACGUGCAUCAGAAUUAGAUACAUCCCGUCUACCGCAUCGUCACAACUACGGCUGGGACUGUGCCAACUAUAAUAGUUGGGACUAGGUGGUGUGUCCCAACUUUAAUUGGGACCGUCAAUGCCCCAUCCACAGAUGGGGCACUAACUAAAUAAUUGGAGCGUGCAGAUACGGUUCUAUAAUACAGUACAUAUUUUGAUUGAACACACGUUUGUUUAGCAAUGAAAAAAGAGCACUUCAUUAAUCUUUUAUAGUCUGUUGUUUAAAAUACUCAGCCAUGUAUAGGCUACAUCAUAAUUGUAAACUUAGGUACAAAAACCUCAGAUAUGCUUUCGCGAUGCAAUGUAUUCUUAUAUCAGGUAUACGUUGACUUUAUACAAAAACUUUAAACUUACUCAAAAAACCCUUGACAUUAUUCGUUUUAAUUGAACGUAGGCUAUCUUCUUAUUUCUUUUCAUCCUUUGAUGCUUCCUCUUUCGUAAACGAACGGUGAGUGAUAUAAAUUGAGCUAUUUGGUAAAAUAAAGGGACUCUUGCAAAAAAAAUUGUCAGUGCU